AGGUGCCACAAGACUCCUCCUUGUUUUUGCUGAAACAGAUGAACACGGCUACCACUCUGAAACUUUUCUUUCUUGAGUAGCAUAAAGAAAGGCCAUAGCUAGUGAAGACUGCUCAUAGAUUAGUCAAUCUGUGGGCUAGUCCCAUGCCCUUCCCCCGAGAUAGUAGAAAAACAAGAUUCUAUUCUUGUUUGAGUACAUUUAACAAGAAGUUUCAUGGCUAAUUAGCAAAAAAGGCGCAUAUGACAACUAAUUGGCAAAAAAAGGUGCAUAUGACACUCGAUGCUCCUAUUUUGGCCUCUUUCAUGAUUGUCAAAUUGUGGCUUUAGGUCCAUUUUAUAGACUCUUCUGAAAGAACUCCCAAUUUUCAUUCACACUUUUCUGUUUAACUUUUUCUUUUCAGUCAAUAUUACUUAUAUUUUCCCUCACCUUUGAGAAAUUAGCCCUUUUGAAGUCUAAACUAUAUGUAUAAUUAGUAGGGAAUGCAUUCUGUUUCCCCAUCCUCAAUGUGAUCAGGUGUUAAUCACAAGUGCCUAGACAAACAGUUAAGUGAUUAAUUCAUCAUUUCCCAUCCCACUGUAUAUUUUAGAAAUGCUAAUGAUGUUUAUGACAGUCUGCACUGGACUUCCAGCAGUGGAGUGUAACUGGCAAGAAGUCAAACAGAUUUACUGAGGAAUAGAUGUAAAUACAGUUGCUCUGUGAAAAAAGACAACUUUUGCUAGUGAAUAAGGAGGGAGAGGGGAAAACUUACCUGCUAGAGAAUGAUCUUCUUUCAUUUCUGAAUGUGGAGAAGAAAACAACAUUUUUCAUUGACUAAUCAUAUUUGUAUUUCUCAGGUCUACAAGCAUACACACAUACACACACAUACAUGCACACGCACAAACUCAUCUUCCCAUUGCCUGAUCCCGCAACCACUGAUGCUAAUGGAAAACAUCUUUUAACUUUAAUGGGUGCAAUACUGAGACUAGAGUGUCUGUCUAUUGAAAACACCACUCUGCAGCUUACCAUCUUCAGACUGAAAUGUUUUCUACAAAAAAUGGGGAGAAGAAGAAAAUAAUUCAGUCCCCUAGAAAUGUACCUGUUGGACAAUCAACG
Molecule: long non-coding RNA, 1092 nt
Organism: Terrapene triunguis (Three-toed box turtle)
Lineage: Eukaryota; Metazoa; Chordata; Testudines; Emydidae
Exons: 3
Source: RefSeq, a predicted model, not a curated record